This 403-nucleotide ribosomal RNA is filed under the name uncultured bacterium. RNAcentral's name for it is "partial 16S ribosomal RNA". It matches the Rfam family "Bacterial small subunit ribosomal RNA", at positions 28 to 526 of the family's 1533-position model. The record is from RNAcentral.
GACGAACGCUGGCGGCGUGCUUAACACAUGCAAGUCGAACGAGUGGCGAACGGGUGAGUAAUACGUGGGUAACCUGCCCUCUUUUUGGGAUAAGACUUGGAAACGGGGGCUAAUACCGAAUAAAGGGGGAGGGGCUCGAGGCCUAUCAGCUUGUUGGUGGGGUGAGGGCCUACCAAGGCGGUGACGGGUAGCCGGCCUGAGAGGGUGACCGGACACGUGUGUACGUGGAUACGGGCCAGACUACUACGGGAGGCAGCGGUGGGGGAGAGUGCACAAUGGGGGAAAGCCUGAUGCGGCGAGGGCGCGUGGGAGAUGAAGGCUUUCGGCUUAUAAGCCUCUUUCACUAUCAAACUAGGUGGAUAGGAAGCGCCGGCUAACUACGUGCCAGCCGCCGCGGUAAUUC